Paramuricea clavata is the source of this 79-nucleotide non-coding RNA. The record is from the annotation of a GenBank genome assembly. NCBI's taxonomy places the organism in Eukaryota, Metazoa, Cnidaria, Anthozoa, Malacalcyonacea, Plexauridae.
AAUCGACGUUUCGACUAGUUUGUAGUCCUUCCUCCGGAUUAAUCCUGAGGAUGACUACAAACUAGUCGAAACGUUGAUU